Molecule: non-coding RNA, 717 nt
Organism: Macaca mulatta (Rhesus monkey)
Lineage: Eukaryota; Metazoa; Chordata; Mammalia; Primates; Cercopithecidae
Source: RefSeq, a predicted model, not a curated record
CAGGUUUCACCUACUGCGGUGAAAUACACUGCAGGUCCGCGUAGGUUUGGCCGCUGGCCGUCCAGUAGUCCUCCCACCUGGGGGUACAGGGGUGCGGGGGGGGGCACCCAGUGAAGGAGGCAGGCAGCUGGGGCAGCCUGCUGUGCUGGGGGAGAGGAGGAGGGAGCCCUGGAGGACAGGCAGAAGGACCAUCGAAGGAGAAACCCUGCUGGCCUUGGGACCUGGAGGAAAAACCAGGGCCCGUGCUCCUGGUGCCGGGAUCCGGCAAUUGGACGGAACCUCUCGGAUUCCCCGGUGCUGUGAAAUCCACUUGGGGCCAUCAUACCCUUCGUUGCCGUGUUCCCUGGCAGGACUCGAAUGCAGGAUGUCUUAGAGGAUAAAAAUGAGCGGGCAGAUGAAGAGAUACUCAGGGCGAGGUUCAGAAAAGUGCACCGAGCCCACCUCAUGGAUGUGAGAAAGAAAAGUGGCUCAGAGCAGCCUGGGAAACGUGAGCUGGCACCAGGGAACGACAGUCUCCCAGCAGAGAGCAAACACCUGAAACGUGAUCAGCCGCUUCCCAGUACGAUCUCCGGAGCUGGGUGAGCGGGCCGGAGCAGGCCCACUAAGAAGCAAAAUGGCGGAGUUUAACUGGUCUGUGGCCUUCAAGGGAUCUGCAGCUGGUCAUGAAGAGCAUCUCAAGUGAGCACAAGCACAGCUCCAGCCAACGCACCACACACG